Molecule: ribosomal RNA, 1422 nt
Filed under: uncultured Bordetella sp.
Lineage: Bacteria; Pseudomonadati; Pseudomonadota; Betaproteobacteria; Burkholderiales; Alcaligenaceae
Description: partial 16S-23S ribosomal RNA intergenic spacer
Rfam family: Bacterial small subunit ribosomal RNA
Source: RNAcentral
AGUCGAACGGCAGCACGGACUUCGGUCUGGUGGCGAGUGGCGAACGGGUGAGUAAUGUAUCGGAACGUGCCUAGUAGCGGGGGAUAACUACGCGAAAGCGUAGCUAAUACCGCAUACGCCCUUCGGGGAAAGCAGGGGACCUUCGGGCCUCGCACUAAUGAAACGGCCGAUAUCGGAUUAGCUAGUUGGUGGGGUAACGACUCACUAAGGCGACGAUCCGUAGCUGGUUUGAGGACGACCAGCCACACAGGACUGAGACACAGCCCGAACUCCUACGGGAGGCAGCGGUAAAUUUUGGACAAUGGGAGGGGAAACCCUGAUCAGCCAUCGCGACGUGCGAUGAAGGCCUUCGGGUUGUAAAGCACUUUUGGCAGAAGAAACGGCACGGGAUAAUACCCGAUGCAACUGACAAGCCUGCAGAAUAAGCACCGGCUAACUACGUGCCAGCAGCCGCGGUAAUACGUAAGGGGUGCAAGCGUUAAUCGGAAUUACUGGGCGUAAAGCGUGCGCAGGCGGUUCGGAAAAGAUGUGAAAUCCCAGAAGCAACUUUGGAACUGCAUUUUUGGCUACCGAGCUAGAGUGUGUCAGAGGAAGUGGAAUUCCGCGUGUAGCAGUGAAAUGCGUAGAUAUGCGGAAGGAACACCGAUGGCAAGAAGGCAGCCUCCUGGGAUGCUGCCAAUGACGCUCAUGCACGAAAGCGUGGGAGCAAACAGGAUUAAGUCCCUGAUCCACGCCUAAACGUCAACUAGCUGUUGGGGCCUUCGGGCCUUGGUAGCGCAACUAACGCGUGAAGUUGACCGCCUGGGAAUUGCAGGUCGCAGGAAUUAAAACUCAAAGGAAUUGACGGGGACCCGCACAAGCGGUGGAUGAUGUGGAUUAAUUCGAUGCAACGCGAAAAACCUUACCUACCCUUGACAUCUGGAAUCCCGAAGAGAUUUGGGAGUGCUCGCAAGAGAACCGGAACACAGGUGCUGCGCCAUGGUACUGUCGUCGGCUCGUGUCGUGAGAUGUUAGGAGUUGAGAAUCCCGCAACAGGCGCAACCCUUGUCGUGGUUACUACGAAAAGGGCACUCUAAUGAGACUGCCGGUGACAAACCGGAGGAAGGUGGGGAUGACGUCAAGUCCUCAUGGCCCUUAUGGGUAGGGCUUCGUCAUACAAUGGUCAGGACAGAGGUCGCCAACCCGCGAGGGAGCCAAUCCAGAAACCCGAUCAUAGUCCGGAUCAUGAUCUGCAACUCGACUGCGUGAAGUCGGAAUCGCUAGUAAUCGCGGAUCAGCAUGUCGCGGUGAAUACGUUCCCAGGUCUUGUACACACCGCCCGUCACACCAUGGGAGUGGGUUUUACCAGAAGUAGUUAACUAACCGUAAGGAGGGCGAUUACCACAGUAGGAUUCAUGACUGGGGUGAAGUCGUAGCAGGUAA